AGCUGCUUACACACUGUGCAGUAGAAUGUUCCAGUCAGCACACAGCAUGAACAUGAGGAACCCUGCUCAACUCCUGGGGCUUCUGAUGCUCUGGCUCCCAGGUGCCAAAUGUGAUGUUCAGUUGACCCAGUUGCCAUCCAUGUCUGCAUCUCUUGGAGAGAGAGUCUCCAUGACUUGCAGGGCCAGUCAGGGCAUUGGGAAUUAUUUACAUUGGUACCAGCAGAAACCAGGAAAUGCCCCUAAGCUCCUGAUUUAUUUUGCAACUAAUUUGAAAUCUGGGACUCCUUCCAAAUUCAGUAGCAGUGGAUGAAAUGUCUCCUUUUUGUUGCU
This is a non-coding RNA of Dipodomys spectabilis (banner-tailed kangaroo rat), 330 nucleotides long. NCBI's taxonomy places the organism in Eukaryota, Metazoa, Chordata, Mammalia, Rodentia, Heteromyidae. The record is from the annotation of a RefSeq genome assembly.